Cimex lectularius (bed bug) is the source of this 439-nucleotide long non-coding RNA. RefSeq lists it as uncharacterized. The record is from RefSeq and is a predicted model, not a curated record. The transcript is spliced from 2 exons. Lineage: Eukaryota; Metazoa; Arthropoda; Insecta; Hemiptera; Cimicidae.
GAUGGCACAUAAAUGUUGGUCAUCUGAUUUUUGAAAAUGAUCCACCCAGUUUGGCUACAUUGUUUCGAUAAUACUAUCUUUUAAGUUUGCUUGAAUAUUGUAAUGAAACAAAAUUUCUAUUUUUAAGUGGUAGAACCUACGUGAAACUUGCAGAGAAAAUAUGCUGAUGAAAAUUGCAUACCGAUGACGAUCAUCGUGGGGAUGAUGCUGCUGAGGGUGGUACCUUCAAUUUGCCCACGAUAUAUCAGCGGGAGGUAAUCUGGCCGUCCGUUGCCCAUUUUCGUUGGAGCGAUGUCUGAACUUCGUCGGGCGGACCCACACUGCCGACGAUGAAGCCAAGGAAUUACCGGCUCCCGAUUGGGAUAUAUCUUCAAUCAGUGGAAUUUUGAAUUUGCUGACUGAAAUUAAAUAAAAGAAAUUUAAAACAAAUUAAAACAUA